This 460-nucleotide ribosomal RNA is filed under the name uncultured bacterium. RNAcentral's name for it is "partial 16S ribosomal RNA". It matches the Rfam family "Bacterial small subunit ribosomal RNA", at positions 338 to 795 of the family's 1533-position model. The record is from RNAcentral.
CCUACGGGUGGCAGCAGUGAGGAAUAUUGGUCAAUGGACGCAAGUCUGAACCAGCCAUGCCGCGUGCAGGAAGACGGCUCUAUGAGUUGUAAACUGCUUUUGUACGAGGGUAAACUCAGAUACGCGUAUCUUUCUGCAAGUAUCGUACGAAUAAGGACCGGCUAACUCCGUGCCAGCAGCCGCGGUAAUACGGAGGAUUCAAGCGUUAUCCGGAUUUAUUGGGUUUAAAGGGUGCGUAGGCGGUCGGAUAAGUUAGGGGGGAAAUCCCGAGGCUCAACGUCGGAAUUGCAGCUGAUACUGGUCGGCUAGAGAGUAGUUGCGGUAGGCGGAAUGUAUGGUGUAGCGGUGAAAUGCUUAGAGAUCAUACAGAACACCGAUUGCGAAGGCAGCUUACCAAGCUACUUCUGACGUUGAGGCACGAAGGCGUGGGGAGCAAACAGGAUUAGAUACCCUGGUAGUC